CCGUGGCCUCAGCGGGGACCGGCACCAACAACAUCGGCACAACCCGCUCCAUGGUGGCAGCGCUGCAGAAGCCGCCGGCGGCAGCACUUCCGGAUCACUUCGCCGCCAUCUUUGGUCCGGCAGUUAUUUGUCCCUGGGGUGGUGCAAGCAAUCCUUAGCAGCGUGGACCGGCCCGUCCUGAGUUGACCCGAAUGUUGAAAUGCGCAGGGGCACGGGGUAAGGGGCGGUGGCGUUGCCCUUUGCUCUCCGCAGGGAAGUGUGACCCAAGGUCGUGGGCAGAGAGGAGCAGAGGGGCGAGGAGCGGUGUGGAGAAGGCAUUUGGGAAAAGGGCCCUAAUAGCAGUGCCUUUCUCACCCGCGGUCAGUUUUUGAGUCCUAUGGUGGAGCAACCCCCUGGCUACUUUCCAUGAGACCAGAGGGAGUCUGAAAAGACUUCAGAGCUGUCCUCAAGACCUGAAGAAAUGAUUCAUUACCCUUCCCUCACCUCCAGCCAAUCAGUUGCCCUAUAUGAUCUGUAACCUACAGGCCAUCAAGGAUUUCCAGCUUUUGAGCAUUAGCUUCCCAUUCUCCUUGAUAAGGCCAUUCGUCCAUAAAUAGCCAAUAUGCCCUAGCUGGUUUGGCUCAAUGGAUAGAGUGUCAGCCUGAGGGGCCCCAGGUUUGAUUCCAGCCAAGGGCACAUGCCUGGGUU
This is a long non-coding RNA of Myotis daubentonii (Daubenton's bat), 687 nucleotides long. RefSeq lists it as uncharacterized. NCBI's taxonomy places the organism in Eukaryota, Metazoa, Chordata, Mammalia, Chiroptera, Vespertilionidae. The record is from RefSeq and is a predicted model, not a curated record.